This 1296-nucleotide ribosomal RNA is filed under the name metagenome. RNAcentral describes it as "SSU rRNA". It matches the Rfam family "Eukaryotic small subunit ribosomal RNA", at positions 493 to 1783 of the family's 1831-position model. The record is from RNAcentral.
UUUUUGGGCUUGGUAAUUGGAAUGAGGGAGAGUUAAACGGACCAUCGAGUAUCCAUUGGAGGGCAAGUCUGGUGCCAGCAGCUGCGGUAAUACCAGCUCCAAUAGCGUAUAUUAAAGUUGUUGCAGUUAAAAAGCUCGUAGUUGGACUUGUGUGCGCUGUCCGCGGGUGGCCUGCGCCCAAAAGGGCGUUUCGGUUCGGCCCCGGUGGCGCCUUGAAAUCUGCAGCUGGGGGGACGUUGGCCUUAACUGGUCGGCGACCGCACGCCGGCUGCUCGGUUACUGUGAGAAAAUUAGAGUGUUCAAGGCAGGCAUUGGGUGCAAUUGAAUACAUUAGCAUGGAAUAAUAAAAUAUGGCUCCUGCCGUAUUUUGUUGGUUUUGACUGGUGGGAGUAAUGAUUGAUAGGGACGGUUGGGGGUGCUAGUAUUGAGCGGCCAGAGGUGAAAUUCAUGAUUCGCUCAAGACUAACUUAUGCGAAAGCAUUCACCAAGGACGUCCUCUUUAAUCAAGAACGAAAGUUGGGGGAUCGAAGACGAUCAGAUACCGUCGUAGUCUCAACCAUAAACUAUGUCGACUUGGGAUCGGCGGUAGUUUUUUCAUUAAGACACUGUCGGGACCACGGGAGAAAUCAAAGUGUCUGGACUCUGGGGGAAGUAUGGUCGCAAGGCUGAAACUUGAAGGAAUUGACGGAAGGGCACCACCAGGAGUGGAGCCUGCGGCUUAAUUUGACACAACACGGGGAAACUUACCAGGUCCAGAGAUGUAGAGGAUUGACAGAUUGAAGCUCUUUCUUGAUCACUUCGGUGGUGGUGCAUGGCCGUUCUUAGUUGGUGGAGUGAUUUGUCUGGUUAAUUCCGUUAACGAACGAGACCUCAGCCUGCUAGUGUAGUCGGCUGGAUUGCCUUUGGCGAUCCGUGAUUUCGACUUCUUAGAGGGACAAUCGACGCGCAGUCGAUGGAAGUUUGAGGCAAUAACAGGUCUGUGAUGCCCUUAGAUGUUCUGGGCCGCACGCGCGCUACACUGCUGGGCUCAGCGAGUUUUACUUGGCCGAGAGGCCCGGUUAAUCUUGUGAAAUCCAAGCGUGCUUGGGCUCGCCUCCUGCAACUGGAGGCGCCAACGAGGAAUUCCUAGUAGACGCAGGUCAUCAACCUGCAUCGAUUACGUCCCUGCCCUUUGUACACACCGCCCGUCGUUCCAUAAGAGUGAGGCAUCCGGUGAAUUCUCGGGAGAGCCUGGGCGUGGCCAGCAAUGGUCUGCUCGGGUUUGAACUUGCAUAAACUUGGUGCCUAUGAUUAGGG